Long non-coding RNA from Sarcophilus harrisii (Tasmanian devil), 961 nucleotides. RefSeq lists it as uncharacterized. The transcript is spliced from 3 exons. The record is from RefSeq and is a predicted model, not a curated record. Lineage: Eukaryota; Metazoa; Chordata; Mammalia; Dasyuromorphia; Dasyuridae.
UUUUUUUCUUUUUUUCCCCCUUUUUCCUGGUUCCCUUUCUAGGACGUUCAAGGAGAUGAAUUCUGCCCGAUUUUUUUCUGGAUUUUCUCCAAAUUCCAUUCAAAAAUCAAGGACAAAAGGCUACAAAAACUCAGAAACUCAAGGCUCGGCGAAGGUCGAGUCAUCAGAGAUCAUCGGCAAGGCAGAAGUCAGGAAGACCAGUGAUGGACUCGGUAGAAUGGAUGAUCUUGGGAUCUUGGAUGGCUGACCUUAGGGUCUUGGAUGGCUCACCAAACACUCUACAGCCUUGCUUUGUGGCCAUUGCAGCAAUUUGUUCUCAUUCGCUUACUCAGCUGGGGGAAAUCUUCACAUGCUUGGGGUAGACAUCCCCCUAACUGGCCACCAACUUUGAGGUGUCCCUCAGCCUGAUUUAGCCCAGAUAGUAUACCGGCAUUGAGCGGGCUACGGCUUCAGUGCUGAAUGCCAGAUGGACACCAAAGAUGGACGAAUCCUCACACUGAGGGGUUCUGGUCUUUCCUGAACAGCCCACAUGCGGAGUUCCUCAAUACAACCCUUUCACUUUACAGGUAACAAAACAGAGAGAAAUUGUGCUUUAUCCAGGAUGGUUCACAAAGUAAAGCACAUGAGGGAGGGAUUUGUAUUUUGAUCUUCCUGACUCCAAGCAUAAUAUUUUAUUCCCUGGAUCACUUAGCUGUUUCUUAUCUUAAAGUGGUUUCUACUUUUCAGCUUUUUCCUUGGAAAGAAGCAGUCCAAUAUAAACAAGAAUCCUGCAGUCGGUUUUACCCAAACACCCAAGGACUCAGUGGAACUCUCUGAAUCAAUUGGUUCUACGGGGGUGAAUUGAUGCCUUCAGCAAUAAUCUUUAAUGAGAUUGUUUACAUCAUUAGGGAGCACUGAUUUCUACUCAAUUAUAUUGACAGUACUGAGACCUCAGGGAUGCAAAAAAAAAAAAAAAAAAAAA